Molecule: ribosomal RNA, 253 nt
Filed under: uncultured bacterium
Lineage: Bacteria
Description: partial 16S ribosomal RNA
Rfam family: Bacterial small subunit ribosomal RNA
Source: RNAcentral
UACGGAGGAUGCAAGCGUUAUCCGGGAUGAUUGGGCGUAAAGCGUCCGCAGGUGGCUAUGUAAGUCUGCUGUUAAAGAGUGAGGCUCAACCUCAUAAGAGCAGUGGAAACUACAUGGCUAGAGUGCGUUCGGGGCAGAGGGAAUUCCUGGUGUAGCGGUGAAAUGCGUAGAUAUCAGGAAGAACACCGGUGGCGAAAGCGCUCUGCUAGGCCGCAACUGACACUGAGGGACGAAAGCUAGGGGAGCGAAUGGG